CCUAAUACAUGGCAAGUCGAGCGGACCGACGGGAGCUUGCUCCCUGAUGUUAGCGGCGGACGGGUGAGUAACACGUGGGUAACCUGCCUGUAAGACUGGGAUAACUCCGGGAAACCGGGGCUAAUACCGGAUGCUUGAUUGAACCGCAUGGUUCAAUUAUAAAAGGUGGCUUCUACCUACCACUUACAAAUGAACCCCCGGCCCAUUACCUAUUUGGUGAGGUACCGGUUCACCAAGGCAACAAUCCGUACCCAACCUGAAAGGGUGAUCGGCCACACUGGAACUGAAACACGGCCCAAACUCCUACGGAAGGCAGCAUUAGGAAAUCUUCCGCAAUGAACAAAAGUCUGACGAACCACCGCCCCGUGAGUGAUGAAGGUUUUCGAAUCGUAAAACUCUUUUGUUAGGAAAAAACAAGUACCGUUCAAAUAGGGCGGAACCUUGACGGUACCUAACCAAAAAGCCACGGCUAACUACUUGCCACCACCCGCGGUAAUACGUAGGUGGCAAGCGUUGUCCGAAAUUAUUGGGCGUAAAGCGCGCGCAGGCGGUUUCUUAAUUCUGAUGUGAAACCCCCCGGUUCAACCGGGAAGGGUCAUUGAAAACUGGGAAACUUGAUUGCAAAAAAGAAAAGUGAAAUUCCACGUGUACCGGUAAAAUGCGUAAAAAUGUGAAGGAACACCAUUGGCAAAGGCAACUCUCUGGCCUGUAACUGACGCUAAGGCGCGAAAGCGUGGGAAGCGAACAGGAUUAAAUACCCUGGUAGUCCACGCCGUAAACAAUAAGUGCUAAGUGUUAAAGGGUUUCCGCCCUUUAUUGCUGCACCAAACGCAUUAACCACUCCGCCUGGGGAGUACGGUCGCAAAACUGAAACUCAAAGGAAUUGACGGGGGCCCGCACAACCGGUGGAGCAUGUGGUUUAAUUCAAAGCAACGCGAAAAACCUUACCAGGUCUUGACAUCCUCUGACAACCCUAAAAAUAGGGCUUCCCCUUCGGGGGCAAAAUGACAGGUGGUGCAUGGUUGUCGUCAGCUCGGGCCGGGAAAUGUUGGGUUAAGUCCCGCAACGAGCGCACCCUUGAUCUUAGUUGCCAGCAUUCAGUGGGCACUCUAAGGGGACUGCCGGUGACAACCGGAGGAAGGUGGGGAUGACUUCAAUCAUCAUGCCCCUUAGAACUGGGCUACCCCUGGCUAAAUGGGCAAAACAAGGGCACCAAACCCGAAGGUUAACCAAUCCCAAAAUCGUUUCAAAUCCGAUCCGACCUGGAACUCCAAUGGGGGAACUGGAAUC
RNAcentral lists this ribosomal RNA (1290 nucleotides) under Bacillus haynesii. Its description in RNAcentral is "bacterial SSU rRNA". It matches the Rfam family "Bacterial small subunit ribosomal RNA", at positions 47 to 1333 of the family's 1533-position model. The record is from RNAcentral. Lineage: Bacteria; Bacillati; Bacillota; Bacilli; Caryophanales; Bacillaceae.